Molecule: ribosomal RNA, 1012 nt
Filed under: Camptochaeta sp.
Lineage: Eukaryota; Metazoa; Arthropoda; Insecta; Diptera; Sciaridae
Description: SSU rRNA
Rfam family: Eukaryotic small subunit ribosomal RNA
Source: RNAcentral
UGAAACCGCAAAAGGCUCAUUAUAUCAGUUAUGGUUUCUUAGAUCGUAUCCACAAUUACUUGGAUAACUGUGGUAAUUCUAGAGCUAAUACAUGCAUUUAAAGAGAAACCAGUAAAAUGGGUUCUCUGCUUUUAUUAGAUUUAAACCAAUGGGGAGCGUUUCGGCGUUCUUACAUUUAAACUGGUUGAACUCUGGAUAAUUUGUUGAUCGCAUGGUCUCGUACCGGCGACGGAUCUUUCAAAUGUCUGCCCUAUCAACUAUUGAAGGUAAUGUCUUGGAUUACCUUGGUUGCAACGGGUAACGGGGAAUCAGGGUUCGAUUCCGGAGAGGGAGCCUGAGAAACGGCUACCACAUCUAAGGAAGGCAGCAGGCGCGUAAAUUACCCACUCCCAGCACGGGGAGGUAGUGACGAAAAAUAACAAUACAAGACUCACAUCCGAGGCCUUGUAAUUGGAAUGAGUACACUUUAAAUCCUUUAACAAGGAUCAAUUGGAGGGCAAGUCUGGUGCCAGCAGCCGCGGUAAUUCCAGCUCCAAUAGCGUAUAUUAAAGUUGUUGCGGUUAAAACGUUCGUAGUUGAACUUGUGUUCCGCACGGGCAGUACCAAACAACUGGUAAAACAGUAGUGGUACCUUGUCUUACUUCCUGUCUCCGGAUUAGGAAAUGUGCGUGGACGUAUUAUCGGCGUGUUCGCUCUCGUAGCGUUCACAUCAGCCCAUCGCAGUGCUCUUAAACAAGUGUUGCUGUGGGCCGAUACAAAUUACUUUGAACAAAUUAGAGUGCUUAAAGCAGGCUUGUAAUGCCUGAAUAUUUUGUGCAUGGAAUAAUGAAAUAGGACAUCUGUUCUACUUUCAUUGGUUUUUUAGACCAAGAUGUAAUGAUUAAUGGAAGCAGUUGGGGGCAUUAGUAUUACAACGCGAGAGGUGAAAUUCUUAGACCGUUGUAAGACUAACUAAAGCGAAAGCAUUUGCCAAAGAUGUUUUCAUUUAAUCAAGAACGAAAGUUAGAGGUUC